UUUCAUGGAGACAACAAAGCAGCAGGAGCCACUUGUGGCUGUGACAUCAGGAACUUGAAACUGUGAGCUCUCAUCUCCAGGCCAGGAAGCCCCACAGAGACCCACUUCCUCCAGCAAGAUCUGAUCCCUCAAGGUUCCACAGCCUCCCUGAAACAGCAGCACCACCUGAAGAGUGGGUGUUUAGACCUGGGAGUCACAUUAUAAUAGUCACAGAAAAAUGCUGGGCGAGAGGCACAAGCACAUUUGCCUAUAGAAGCAUUUCCCUAUGACAGUUGUCCCCAUUUCCCUUCUUACACAUGGGACUGCACUGAGACAGGAGUGUCAUUAAUGCCAAACAACCUCAUCAUUUAGAAGGUCAGCACAAAAUCAGGUUGUCCCAGCUACAAGAGGAGGACAAGAAAAUAAAGAUCACCUAGUUCCUGACAAAGGAAGCAGUCACCCUUCCAGGCACCUCUUGAGAACCUUGUCACAUCCUUUACCAUUUAACAGCAGGAUAUUAUCCAAAGGUCAAAAAGUAUCUCCACAUGUGAGACUGCAUUGCACAGAUUCUCCAAGUUUAGUUCUUG
RNAcentral lists this long non-coding RNA (566 nucleotides) under Cricetulus griseus (Chinese hamster). RNAcentral describes it as "lncRNA (ENSCGRG00015037879.1)". Lineage: Eukaryota; Metazoa; Chordata; Mammalia; Rodentia; Cricetidae. The record is from RNAcentral.